Molecule: ribosomal RNA, 253 nt
Filed under: uncultured bacterium
Lineage: Bacteria
Description: partial 16S ribosomal RNA
Rfam family: Bacterial small subunit ribosomal RNA
Source: RNAcentral
UACGGAGGGAGCUAGCGUUGUUCGGAAUUACUGGGCGUAAAGCGCACGUAGGCGGCUUUGUAAGUUAGAGGUGAAAGCCCGGGGCUCAACUCCGGAAUUGCCUUUAAGACUGCAUCGCUUGAAUCCGGGAGAGGUGAGUGGAAUUCCGAGUGUAGAGGUGAAAUUCGUAGAUAUUCGGAAGAACACCAGUGGCGAAGGCGACUCACUGGACCGGCAUUGACGCUGAGGUGCGAAAGCGUGGGGAGCAAACAGG